CAGCUGUCACUCGCUUUUUACAAUUAGACCCGUUUGGUUGUUGUUCGUGCGGCGCUCGCGUUUUUGAGGUGCAUUGGAAUUGUUGGGAACUGGUCGGUUUUAUUAAUUGUUUAUAAUUAUAUUUCGUAUGUACAUGGUAUGAUAACAAAAAAAAAUACAUGAUUAAAUAUUUAACCUCAUAGAAGAGCCUUUUUCGUAGCAAAGGCGAUUGUAAAACGCGAGAGUGUGAAGUGUUAUGAUGGUGAAAAAGCUUGCAAAAUAAAGGGAAAACCCAAAUAAUAAAAGCAAAAGUAGCGCAUUACACAAAUUAACAAAGCUGCAUAUAUAAUACUUAAAAAUUUAAAAGUGUUUUUAGAAAGGCAUCAAUUGCAUACACAUUUCGCUCCAUCAAACAAGAUCGUGAAAAAGAUAGUUGGAAUAAGCGUACAAUUGGAAGUUACACGAUGUGGAGUCCAACGCAUAUACAAGUGACAGUUCAACGUGCGAAAGGUCUGCUGACAAAAGGCAAAAAUGGCACCAACAAUUGUUUCGUCACGAUUUCGCUGGGUAAAGAGAAAUACCAGACAUCAGUUAAAGACAAAGCGGAAACAAAUGUCAGCUGGAAUGAAGAAUGUGAACUCAAAAUUCCUGAUCAAGGCAACCGUGCUGAAUUGACAUUGACUUGCCUACAUCGCAAUAAUCUCGGCAUCGAUGAAUUUCUCGGUCAGGCCACAUUGCCACUGAAUGAAAUGGACGUUUACGACCGUCCACGUUCUAAAUGGUUCAAACUAGAGAGUAAACCUGGCAAAGAGAAAAAGAAUAAAGAGCGCGGUGAGCUGGAAGUUCGUAUUUCCUUCGUAGUCAAAUCUGGCUCACUGACUGAUCUGAGCAAAAAAGAAAAGCACAAGUCUUCCAUUGGCCAGCUGGCUUCUUCCGUGGGUGGCAGUCUGCUUUCGAUUGGCACAAUAGAAAAACGCAAAGGUAUUAAGAAGUUCGCCAAAUCGAUUGGCUCGAAAAUGCAUUUGAGCAGCAAGAAGAAGAAUAAGGAUGGCGAUGAUGUAUCGAAUUUCAGCGGCUCAUUCGCGAGCAUCGGCACGCCGAACAGUUCGAAUGGCGGUAGUCAUCGUUAUGGUCAGCGUGCCGGUGAGGCUGAUCCUGGUGUCAUUAGUGAGGAUGAAGAUGAAUUCGUUUUUGACAAUUUGUCACACAAGAGCUCGGCGAGUUCAUUGAACAUACGUUCAAAUCUACAAGUGCCUACACAAAAUUUCGCACCACGUAAUCCCUCACCGCUGCUGGGCAAAGUCGGAGGUAAGCCGUUGUCUAGAAGAGAUUUGGUGGAGGAGGAUCUCGCCGUAGAUCCCGAGUUAGAGGAAUUAGAAAACGACUUCAGCGUCCGUGCACGAACACUGCCGCCGCCCUCGAAACCACCUCGCACACAACAACAAAUCAACGAUGCGGUAGCUGCGUCACCCAAACAGAAGGAUCAGUCACUAGACGAAUGGGAGUCGAAACUGUAUAAACAACACUUACAAAUUGGCAGUUCAGAUUCUUUGAAGCGACGUUCUUGGGAACAGUCACGAGUGCCGCUACCAACACCCAAUGAAGAGGUAGAGCAGGAACCAGAAGUGAAAGUGGAAGAGAAAAAUGAAGUAGAAAACAAGCAAGAGAAUGGCUAUCAGAAACAAGCAAAUGGUUUCAAUGUUGCAAAGUUUCCACAACGUAGCAAUGAGAGUGACUCUUCUUUGUCAUCUUCGGAUUUAGACGAGGAGGAAAGUAUGCCUGAACCAAUCAAAACUGAAGUCAAAGUUAUUCCCAAUAAAACACUAGAACUUAAUCUAUCCCCUACGCCCAUUGCAGCAACAAAAAAUAUAAGUCUUUUGUCCCCGGAUAAGGAGACAAAGGAUUUCAAAGAGCUUAACGCUUCAUUUGCGAAAUUCGAACAGCGCAAUAAGUCACAUUUAUUCGAUUUGGACGCAGAUAAAAAAUGGCAUACACAAUCCUUCAUUGCGGAAGAAUCCAGACCUCCUCCUGUGCCAAAGGCCAUGCCACGAAAUCGUGAACGAGAAGCAGAAAUAAAGCGCGCUGAAGAAGAGCAAGAAGCCGAACGCAUACGGCAGGCGGAGGCAGAGGCCAAAGCUGAAGCAGCUGCCAAAGCGGCAGCUGACGCCGAGGCCAAGGCCGCUGCACAAGCCGCACGCAAACGCCAAGCUGAACUUGAAGCAGCUUCCAUUGCCGCCGAAGUUGAACGUAACCGCCGUGAAGCAUCUGAACAAAAACAACAGCGCCGCGCUGCUGAGGAUGCGCGCCUAGAGGAAGAAUUGCGCAGGAAUGAACAGAAAUUACUAGAAGAAGAGGAAGCAUUGCAGGAGGAAUUGCGUCAACGUGAGGAGGAGAAGCGACGAGAGGCAAAAAGACGUGAAGAAGAUCAACGCAUUUUGAACUUUGCUAAGCGCUCUACAUCGCUGGAGGAAGAACAAAGUCCUUAUGGCACGCCUGAACAAUCGCCCAGCGAUACUUUGGCUGAGAAACGCGAACGACGUAUGGGCAAAUUCAAAUAUCUCAAUAAGCGAGAGAAAAGUGAAGAUAAUCGUUCCACGCCAAGUCCCAAAGCCAACGAACGCAUUAUUAUUGGCCACGAAAAGUCCACAUCACAUGCUGAACGGCGCUCGGAAAUAUCAGCAGCGCUCGCCAAGAAAUACGAGGGCAAAUCGCGAGAGGAGCUUAUGCUAAUAGCUAAUGGCAUGGAAAAUGAAGCGUUACUCCAACGUCAACGUGUGAAAGAGCUAGAAGAUUAUCUGGACAAUUUAUUGCUGCGUGUGAUGGAAACUCACCCGAAACUCUUACAAAAUCCUUACUCGCGCACUACAUCGGCUAAGAGUUUUAAAAACUACAUCAAUAUGAAUGACUUUUUGUAAAGAACCGAAUUUUGUGAAGCGCGAUGAAUUCCCAACCGAUUGGCUGUUUGCAUGUCAAAGCCAGCACAACGGCUGAACAACUUUAAGGAACAUCUUUUAAUUUUAAGCAAAUUUCAUGCGCGGCUGACCGGUAAUUCCAAGCGCCUUCCAGCUAAAGCGACAACAACACAAGCAUAUACAAAAUCAAAAAUCAUAAAAGUAAAUAAAAAGAGCGGAAUUAUCACCAAGUUGCCUUAGAGUGAAAAAUCCAAAGUGCUUUUUAUGCAAUGCGUAUUUAAUUAUGAAAGCUAAAAAAAUAUAUGUGUACAAGUUUAACAUAAUUUUUUGAAUCGAUGUCACUUUACUAGUUAGAAAUGAUGUUGUAUCUGCUAACACAGUUAAAUUAUUGUAAUAUAUUUUUUAAGUAAAGAAACAAAAAAAAA
Molecule: RNA transcript, 3316 nt
Organism: Rhagoletis pomonella (apple maggot)
Lineage: Eukaryota; Metazoa; Arthropoda; Insecta; Diptera; Tephritidae
Gene: Rip11
Gene name: rab11 family-interacting protein 1
Exons: 7
Source: RefSeq, a predicted model, not a curated record